GAAAUGCGAUACGUAGUGUGAAUUGCAGAAUUCAGUGAAUCAUCGAAUCUUUGAACGCACAUUGCGCCCUUUGGUAUUCCAAAGGGCAUGCCUGUUCGAGCGUCAUUUGUACCCUCAAGCUUUGCUUGGUUUUGGGCGUUUUUGUCUUUGGCCCGCCAAAGACUCGCCUUAAAAUGAUUGGCAGCCGGCCUACUGGUUUCGCAGCGCAGCACAUUUUUGCGCUUGCAAUCAGCAAAAGAGGACGGCAAUCCAUCAAGACUCCUUCUCACGUUUGACCUCGGAUCAGGUAGGGAUACCCGCUGAACUUAAGC
Molecule: unclassified non-coding RNA, 311 nt
Filed under: plant metagenome
Description: partial contains 5.8S ribosomal RNA, internal transcribed spacer 2, and large subunit ribosomal RNA
Rfam family: 5.8S ribosomal RNA (bases 1-105)
Source: RNAcentral